Molecule: long non-coding RNA, 313 nt
Filed under: Salvia miltiorrhiza (redroot sage)
Lineage: Eukaryota; Viridiplantae; Streptophyta; Magnoliopsida; Lamiales; Lamiaceae
Description: long non-coding RNA (SMIL_LNC001849)
Source: RNAcentral
UGUCAAAUUCCACCUAACAAAUCAGCCAAGUUCUCCUUCACUCACUUAAUCCACCAAAUUAUUUUCAUCGGCCCCAAGCUCAUUUCACCAGAAAUCAAGUAUUGAGGUAAAGAUUCACAAUCAUUUCUUUUAUCUCCUUUUAAGAACACCACCCUUUUCGUUUGAAAAAUAUUCAUGAUCUGAACUUUCACAGCAAACAAGCAGAAAUCAAAAUACCAACUGAAAUCCUCGCCAAGGUAACCACUUGACUUUUUCGCCUACCUCUGUUUAUACAUUACGCCUCUAGCUCCAAAUUGGUUUAGCAGAAACCACA